This 253-nucleotide ribosomal RNA is filed under the name uncultured bacterium. RNAcentral's name for it is "partial 16S ribosomal RNA". It matches the Rfam family "Bacterial small subunit ribosomal RNA", at positions 524 to 776 of the family's 1533-position model. The record is from RNAcentral.
UACGUAGGUGACAAGCGUUGUCCGGAUUUACUGGGCGUAAAGAGCGCGCAGGCGGUCGAUCAAGUCGAGUGUGAAAGCCCCCGGCUCAACUGGGGAGGGUCAUUCGAUACUGAUCGACUCGAAGGCAGGAGAGGGUAGUGGAAUUCCCGGUGUAGUGGUGAAAUGCGUAGAUAUCGGGAGGAACACCAGUGGCGAAGGCGACUACCUGGCCUGUUCUUGACGCUGAGGAGCGAAAGCGUGGGGAGCGAACAGG